RNAcentral lists this long non-coding RNA (667 nucleotides) under Panax ginseng (ginseng). Its description in RNAcentral is "long non-coding RNA (PGIN_LNC001068)". The record is from RNAcentral. Lineage: Eukaryota; Viridiplantae; Streptophyta; Magnoliopsida; Apiales; Araliaceae.
UGUGUUAAAUGAGGGAACCAAAUGAAAAAAACGUUUUUGUAAAUAAAAAUAUUUUAAACUUCCAAAAAUCAAUUAUUUCGGAGCUUCGGAACUUCAAUAAUUCACAAUAAAUAGCCCUUUUGCCAGAAAAUUCGAAUCUUGCGAGUUUUUAUAGGAAAUUCAAUUCUCUACAACUUUACAGAAGAAAGUUUUUCCAAAUUCCAAACAGAAAUUGACCGAAAUCCACAAAUGGGCGAUUUUACAGGCUAUAAUCAAAUUUCAGUCAAUAAAUGGGGUCCACCGACAUGUUUAACAUGUUUUAAACAUUUUUGGUAACAAAAAUACUCCUCCUCCACAUAUACUCAUAUAUCCCACAUUCAUCGUAAAAAUAUCAUCGUUAAUAUAUUAUUAAAAUAAUAUAUUUAAAUGAAUUAUUUUAUCAGAAAAAGAUAAAAUAUUAAUUUUCAACAAUUGUCACUAUAAAAAUUUUCUCCAUCUAUAUCCACAUAAAAUCAAUAUUUUCCUCAUCAUAUGAAUCAAUAAUUAAUUAUUCACAAAUAAUAUUACAGAAUCACAAUAUUGACAACCAGGCAGUUCCCAGGAAAGAGGGGGCUUUCCAAUAAGAAUUUCUCCUUACUGGCGCGCAAUUAGGUGACCAAACCUCUCCUUAGACAGAACUUUCUAGACA